UGGCAUAUACAAUGAGACGCAAUACCGCGAGGUGGAGCAAAUCUAUAAAAUAUGUCCCAGUUCGGAUUGUUCUCUGCAACUCGAGAGCAUGAAGCCGGAAUCGCUAGUAAUCGUAGAUCAGCCAUGCUACGGUGAAUACGUUCCCGGGUCUUGUACUCACCGCCCGUCACACCAUGGGAGUUGAUUUCACUCGAAGCCGGAAUACUAAACUAGUUACCGUCCACAGUGGAAUCAGCGACUGGGGUGAAGUCGUAACAAGGUAACCGUAGGAGAACCUGCGGUUGGAUCACCUCCUUUCUAG
RNAcentral lists this ribosomal RNA (301 nucleotides) under Campylobacter coli. Its description in RNAcentral is "partial 16S ribosomal RNA". It matches the Rfam family "Bacterial small subunit ribosomal RNA", at positions 1231 to 1533 of the family's 1533-position model. RNAcentral also lists the same sequence under 1 other name. Lineage: Bacteria; Pseudomonadati; Campylobacterota; Epsilonproteobacteria; Campylobacterales; Campylobacteraceae. The record is from RNAcentral.